Molecule: ribosomal RNA, 467 nt
Filed under: uncultured bacterium
Lineage: Bacteria
Description: partial 16S ribosomal RNA
Rfam family: Bacterial small subunit ribosomal RNA
Source: RNAcentral
GACGAACGCUGGCGGCGUGCUUAACACAUGCAAGUCGAACGGAAAGGCCCUGCUUUUGUGGGGUGCUCGAUUGGCGAACGGGUGAGUAACACGUGAGUAACCUGCCCUUGACUUUGGGAUAACUUCAGGAAACUGGGGAUAUUACCGGAUAGGAGCUCCUGCUGCAUGUGGGUGGUUGGAAAGUUUCGGCGGUUGGGGAUGGACUCGCGGCUUAUCAGCUUGUUGGUGUGGUAGUGGCUUACCAAGGAUUUGACGGGUAGCCGGCCUGAGAGGGUGACCGGGCACAUUGGGACUGGGGUACGACCCAGAGUCAAACGGGAGGAAGGAGUGGGGAAUAGUGCAAAAUGGGCGGAGGCCUGAUGGAGGGACGCCGCGUGCGGGAUGACGGCCUUCGGGUUGUAAACCGCUUUCGACUGUGACGAAGCGUGAGUGACGGAAAUGGGCAAAGAAGCACCGGCUACCUACGU